GCGCUAGCCGGGGAGUUAGCGGUGCCCUGUAUCUGCAAUCCGCUAUAGCAGAGGUGAUGUUCUGUUUCGGAUCGAUGAUCUGUGAAGCUGCCCAAUGUAUGUGGCGUUGAUGUUCUGGUCUUGCGCAAUGGAAACUCGUGAACCGUGUCAGGAGGGGAACCUAGCAGCACUAAGCGGGAUCUUUCGUGUGCCGCAAGGGUGCCGGGAUUGAGUCGGCAGCAUUGGUA
Molecule: signal recognition particle RNA, 227 nt
Filed under: bovine gut metagenome
Description: Bacterial large signal recognition particle RNA
Rfam family: Bacterial large signal recognition particle RNA
About the family: The signal recognition particle (SRP) is a universally conserved ribonucleoprotein involved in the co-translational targeting of proteins to membranes. Archaeal SRP consists of a 7S RNA and homologues of the eukaryotic SRP19 and SRP54 proteins.
Source: RNAcentral